This 376-nucleotide long non-coding RNA is filed under the name Capra hircus (goat). Its description in RNAcentral is "lncRNA (ENSCHIG00010017069.1)". Lineage: Eukaryota; Metazoa; Chordata; Mammalia; Artiodactyla; Bovidae. The record is from RNAcentral.
GUGUGUGAAAGCCUGUCCGGUAGAGGCAGCUUCUGAAGUCUCAGCAGGUCCCNCCAAUGACAGUACAUUAGCUAAGCUAAGCGUGUGAAAGCCUGUCCGGUAGAGGCAGCUUCUGAAGUCUCAGCAGGUCCCUGAAAAUCUGGGUCAAGAAAUCUGUGGAAAAUUCUGACAGCUGUCAGGAAGGAGGUUAUUAAAUUCAUUGGAGAAUGAGUGUUGUCCUGAAUUUGGAUCAAGUCCAAGGAUGAAAAAGAAGGCUGAAGCCUAUCCAUGGAAGCACAACAUGUCUUUCUGAAACAGCUUUUCCACUAACUCUGAUUCUGUGAUUGGAGUACAUACUAUUUCCUGUAGGGUCACUGAGAGCUUUGGGAUCGUUCAA